UGUCCACAACCUCCUCUAUUCCUCUUGAGCCCUCCCACGCCGGCUGCCGCCCCUCGUCAGUCGUUGCCACUGUUUUGCGCGGCUACGACCUACCUCCAUCCCGGCGCGCCGCCCCUCACCACUCCCCUGCGGUCCUCUGUCCCGGUGCGCUGUCCCUCACCACCCCCUGUGAUCCUUUGUCCCGGCGCGCCGUCCCUCAUCACCACUCUUGUGCGACCCUGCAUCCAGGCGCGCCGCCCCUCGUCACCGCUCCCCUAAGACCAACGACGGAUCCAAGGUAUGGACACGCACACCAAGCCUGCCACCAAGUUUGAGAUUUUUUUUGACAAGCACACGCAACCGUAUCACUCGUUCCAUCCAGCAACAGUAGCAGCCGUGCCGGCCACUGGCGGAUCCAUGUUAGGUCGUGGGUGUACAUUUGUACAGCCAAUUUAUUUUGCAGGUAUAGUAGACAUGUAUUAAUAGCAGUGUCGGUGUUGUUUGAGCAAGGAACAUCACGUCAAUUCAUAUAACCUGGGCCUCAAACUCUACUCCAACAAGCAUCUUAGUUUAAAAGUAUCUCCUGCAAUUCCCAGUUGGUCCAUCGCCACUAGCUUGAUUCCCUUACGUUGAGCCCCAAAGCCUAAUACAAGGGUUGGUGUUGCUAGCUUCAUCACCUUGCUGGUACAGAAGGUCAUGAUUAACAUCAAGCCAUACACGGUGAUGUUACUGACAUUACUUUACACUCCUGUUCUGAAGGAAAGGAGUUCUGCAGCCAACAGGGCCUUUGCGUCUUCUUGUGCUGCAGUUCUCAAAUAUGCCAGCCAAUCUCAGGCUCAGAAACUUAUUAAAGACACUGCUUCUCUGCAUUUAGGUGAAAAACUUCUGAGUUAUCUGGUGCAGUUCUAUUAAAUCCUACUUAGCAAUGUAGCAGUUGUUAUUAGUGGAUACAAUGAAGUGGUUAUCCCUGUAAUUUUUCCUUCAAGGUAUGUGAACGACAUAUCUUAAGUCUUAAUCUUUCAUCUUGAGUUUUGAAACUAAUAUGUCAGCUAUUCGUGAUGUUAUUAAGUUCAUUAUCAUUAAAACUACGAAAACUGUUCCCUUUAGUCUACGUACUGGAUCUCAAAUAACAAAACUUCUUUCAGUUUUGAUGAUGAUAAAGAGACUAGCUUAGCCUCGUUUUCACCAGAUUAAGUUUGUUUCCAUGUCUGUUUUUGUUUCUUGCUGUUUAGUUUUGUUUAAAAUCUGGACAUACUGAAACAAUUCAAGAUUGCCAGGCAAAAAAAAGAGUCGAGAUUCAGGCUACUGUAGUGAUGGUUGAUACACUAGAAAAAAAUGAAUUUAAACCUUCACUACAACACUUGGUGAAUUAUCUGACUUCUAUGAACGAGACUCCUAAUCCAUCUAAGCACUGGCAAAUGUUCUUCAGGGUGGAAAAGCGUUGAUGAAUAUGGUGUCCGCCAAAGGUUUAUGGCCCUGUUUGACAGUAGGUUUUAUUGUUGUUCGUCUGCAUGCUCUUCGAUUCAAGCAGUCUUCUCGAUUACUGGAGAACACAAGGAUUAAGUCCUGCUUCCACUUAUGAUGUGGGAUGAAGGUUUUGUGUGUAGCUCUGACCAAACUACAACCCCUCCAAAGUCAGAUGCUGGCAUUUAAGUUCGUUCUUCAUCAGUUUUAAUGCCAAGUAUUCAUCAGUUUUAUGUAUCCAACCCGGUCAACUAAGUUCCAAGUCUUUUCAUCAGGUGAAUGGCAAGGGAUGUUGGGGUUCAUAUGAUUUACAUAUAGAUAAAAACUCAAUUUUUCCUCCCAUAGCAGUUACUUCCAUGUACUUCUAGAAUUAUGAAUAUCAUAUAAUUAGUUGAUCAGGCAGUACUAUUAUGAAAUACAAUCUACUGUAUAAAGUACUUAUUAACUAAAUUUAAUCUACUUCCUCUGAUUUAUGUCAAUGAUUUUUUUAAGAUGGUGCUACAUAUUUGUUCGUUGGUGAUGCCUCAACAAUCCGGCAUUUCCAAUAUGUUGGUGUCUGAUCGAGGUACAAGCAAAAUUUUGAUUGCUUUGUUUCAGCAGCCUCACUUAGGACUAUUAUCCUUUCAUCUUCCAUAUGGAGGGACUAUAAUACUAGUAUUUAUGAAGCUUUUUCAUAAUUACUUUAUGAGUUCUUUCAUUUCGAUCACAUAUAACUUUCAUUUUCACUAGCAGGUAGGAACUAAAGUAUUCUUGAAGAGCCUACAAAAUCAUAACGGAGAUGCAGUUCUUGCUACAGUUGUAAGUUGUAAUCCUAAAUUUAAACUUGAUGGUGCUGAACUUACAAAUGAAUAAUGGGAAGUGCAUGUCGAUACGGCACUUGUGAAAACUUAAGUCUUGGUACGAAUUCGCAAAAACUGCAAUAUUCGUGGUAAUGCAGAAAAACAAAGAUUGUACGGCCUUCAACCCUUUGUACGUUCAAAGGAUGAAUGGAUGAUAUGGGUAUGUGGCAAGUACACUGCAAUGAUGAUGAUGAUGUUCCUGUUCCUGAUGAUGAUGAUGAUGGAUGUUUUCAGUUUUAGUUUAGUUGUAGGGAUGUUCCUGUUAGAUGAUCUUCCUUGUUCAAGUGUUUAGUUGUAGUGAUGUUGUUGGAUGCUUUCAGUGUAAGUUUAGUUGUCAAAUAAUUAUGUAGAUUAUGCAUCACAUUUGGAUAAUGUUCCUCCUAUAAUAUGCACUCUUGUAAUCCAACGGUUUUAUCUAGUAUAUGAUUUAUUCCUCCUGAGAGUA
Molecule: non-coding RNA, 2727 nt
Organism: Triticum urartu
Lineage: Eukaryota; Viridiplantae; Streptophyta; Magnoliopsida; Poales; Poaceae
Source: RefSeq, a predicted model, not a curated record